CCCGGCACAAGCAGCGGAGCGUGUGGUUUAAUUCGAUGAUACACGAAGAACCUUACCCAGGCUUGACAUGUUGGUGGUAGGGAUCCGAAAGGUGACCGACCUUCGGGAGCCUUCACAGGUGCUGCAUGGCUGUCGUCAGCUCGUGUCGUGAGAUGUCCGGUUAAGUCCGGUAACGAGCGCAACCCUCGCUGUGUGUUAUAUGUGUCACACGGGACUGCCGGUAUCAAGCCGGAGGAAGGUGGGGAUGACGUCAAGUCAGCAUGGCCUUUAUGUCUGGGGCUACACACACGCUACAAUGGCCAGUACAAUAGGUUGCAAGACCGCGAGGUGGAGCCAAUCCUUAAAGCUGGUCUCAGUUCGGAUUGCAGGCUGCAACUCGCCUGCAUGAAGUCGGAGUUGCUAGUAACCGCGCGUCAGCCAUAGUGCGGUGAAUACGUUCCCGGGCCUU
This 448-nucleotide ribosomal RNA is filed under the name uncultured Anaerolineaceae bacterium. RNAcentral describes it as "bacterial SSU rRNA". It matches the Rfam family "Bacterial small subunit ribosomal RNA", at positions 920 to 1382 of the family's 1533-position model. The record is from RNAcentral. Lineage: Bacteria; Bacillati; Chloroflexota; Anaerolineae; Anaerolineales; Anaerolineaceae.